This is an RNA transcript of Triticum aestivum (bread wheat), 1067 nucleotides long. RefSeq lists it as uncharacterized. NCBI's taxonomy places the organism in Eukaryota, Viridiplantae, Streptophyta, Magnoliopsida, Poales, Poaceae. The record is from RefSeq and is a predicted model, not a curated record. The transcript has 4 exons.
GGCUUUCGUGUUGUUCACCUCACCACAUUUGAUGGAUGUCCGGGAGUGGUUCUGGCUACAUGGGUAAUUUAUUCAUCCAUUGUUCUUGUUCUUAUUUGUUUCUUAUGGUGUUGCUAAGUGUACUCAUAAUUAUUCAAAAUUACAUGUAAAUAUGUUUUGCCAUCCUUUAAGUUUAUCAUUUUUUUCCCACUGAAAACUGUAGGGCAAUUAUAACGUUGUCUUUUGUAUUAGUUAUGCGCUUAUCCUGCUAUGUAGGUAUAGGAGUUACAUAUUUCGAAUUCGCGCGUGUUAGUUACACAGGUAAGUUUUGCCUUACAAGUAACAUGCUUUCUAGAAUCUUGCUUCCUUUUUAUCAGUUAUUUUGCACUCCGUCUCACUAGAAUCUUGCUUCCUUUUUGUAAUGACUACGUAUUUUGCACUCCGUCUCACACCUUCUUUUCUUUCAUUGGAUCUUACUCUCAAGUUGUCCAAGACAACUGGAGUGUGUCCUUUGCAUUCACUGCACAUCAGUGCAGUCCAAAUAUUAUAUGCAAUCAAGAAAAACGGAAAAUAUUAAAUAUUACGAGUCAGAUAUCAGCUGCUGGUGUCAGGCAGUGGGCAAAUGGAGAAUGGAGACGAUGACGCCGCGGUCCAUGGAGCUGUUCGUGACGCACGAUCACGCGGCGAAGGAGCAAGCGGAUUCUCAGCUGACAUGGUUGCAGCUGGAGGAACACCCCGCGUGGUUGAGCAGGGGCACACUUUUGAGAGGUUCGUGUACUUUGUGAGCACAUUGGACAUGCUGGAGAUGGUGAAUAUAUUCUAUGCUAAAAUGUUUCAUCUAGAUGGGGCUAACAAACGUCAAACCUAACUCAUGCCCAUAUAUAUAUAUCUCAUGUAGUGAACUCUAGAUGGAGCCUUGGUAAUACUUUUGUGUGUGAUACUGAUAUCCCACGUACUGAAUUUCAAGCCUUCGAAUGCUCUUGUGUCACAUAUAGCUUCUCUUUGUUAGCUUCAUUUCCUUUUGGAUUUGGAUUGUCUAACUGAAUUAUGCUCUGUGUGACUCUAAUCACAUAUACUACUUCCUAUAA